GAAUAUCUCUACUCCUCAAUUUUUUAAUUAAGAUUGGUUUGGAGUUAGGUCCUUGGGCUUGCUUGCGGUUUGUUACGAACACAAGCUUGCCUUAAAUAUAUUAGCUGGAUUUCAGUAGAGUUGUUAAGUAACAUUGAAAACUCUCGUAAUACGAAGUCUGCUUCUAACCCGCUGUUACUUUAUUGUAGCACACAUAUUCAUUU
RNAcentral lists this unclassified non-coding RNA (203 nucleotides) under uncultured Exobasidium. RNAcentral describes it as "partial internal transcribed spacer 2". Lineage: Eukaryota; Fungi; Basidiomycota; Exobasidiomycetes; Exobasidiales; Exobasidiaceae. The record is from RNAcentral.